RNAcentral lists this ribosomal RNA (497 nucleotides) under uncultured bacterium. RNAcentral's name for it is "partial 16S ribosomal RNA". It matches the Rfam family "Bacterial small subunit ribosomal RNA", at positions 28 to 507 of the family's 1533-position model. The record is from RNAcentral.
GAUGAACGCUGGCGGCGUGCCUAAUACAUGCAAGUCGAGCGAACAGACGAGGUGCUUGCUCCUUCGACGUUAGCGGCGGACGGGUGAGUAAUCCGUAGGUAACCUACCUAUAAGACUGGGAUAACUUCGGGAAACCGGAGCUAACACCGGAUAAUAUUUCGAAACGCAUGGUUCGAUAGGCAACGAUGGCUUUGCUAUCACUUAUAGAUGGACCUGCGCCGUAUUAGCUAGUUGGUAGGGUAACGGCUUACCAAGGCGACGAUACGUAGCCGACCUGAGAGGACGACCAGCCACACUGGGACUGAGACACGGUCCAGACUCCUACGGGAGGCAGCAGUGGGGAAUCUUCCACAAAGGGGGAAAGCCUGAUGGAGCAAUGCCGCGUGAGGGAAGAAGGUCUUCGGAUUGUAAAACGCUUUUGUUAGGGAAGAAAAAACGUGUAAGAAAAUGUCCGCGGCAUGACGGUACCUGAACAAUAAGCCCCGGCUAACUACGUG